This 494-nucleotide ribosomal RNA is filed under the name uncultured bacterium. Its description in RNAcentral is "partial 16S ribosomal RNA". It matches the Rfam family "Bacterial small subunit ribosomal RNA", at positions 28 to 507 of the family's 1533-position model. The record is from RNAcentral.
GACGAACGCUGGCGGCGUGCUUAACACAUGCAAGUCGAACGGUGAAGCGCCUUCCUUUUUGGUGGGUGUGGAUGAGUGGCGAACGGGUGAGUAACACGUGAGUAACCUGCCCCCUUCUUCUGGAUAACCGCAUGAAAGUGUGGCUAAUACGGGAUAUUCUGGGUCUGUCGCAUGAUGGGUCUGGGAAAGAUAUUGUUUCGGUGGGGGAUGGGCUCGCGGCCUAUCGGCUUGUUGGUGGGGUGAUGGCCUACCAAGGCGGUGGCGGGUAGCCGGCCUGAGAGGGUGGACGGUCACACUGGGACUGAGACACGGCCCAGACUCCGACGGGAGGCAGCAGUGGGGAGUAUUGCACAAUGGGCGCAAGCCUGAUGCAGCGACGACGCGUGAGGGAUGGAGGCCUUCGGGUUGUGAACCUCUUUCGCCAGUGAAGCAGGCCUGCCUCGUUUGUGGGUGGGUUGACGGUAGCUGGAUAAGAAGCGCCGGCUAACUACGUG